AUAGUGCUUCUCACAACCUAUUUAUGUCAAAGGUUGCUGAAGUGAAUAAUGCACAUCUCAAAUAAUUUCUAAUUACAGAUUGUUUCAUGGAAAAAGGACUAAAUCACAUUCUUUGUUGAACAUUCUGAUUGCUGCUGGGACAAUCCUGAGAAACGAGUACAGUACAUACAGAUUUAUUUAUUUCACCUUUAUUUAACCAGGUAGGCUAGUUGAGAACACCUUUAUUUAACCAGGUAGGCUAGUUGAGAACACCUUUAUUUAACCAGGUAGGCUAGUUGAGAACAAGGUCUCAUUUACAACUGCGACCUGGCCAAGAUAAAGCAUAGCAAUUCGACCCAAUACAACAACACAGAGUUACACAUAGGCUUGCCCUUUACUAGUUAGUCAACAUGAUAUCAUACAGCGCUUGAAUAAGAGUUGGGUCGUUAUUCAUUAGUGCACACUGUAGCAAAACGUUUUGCAACAGAUAAUCCAAAACUAAGCGUUUCUUACUGGACAAGUUCAGCUAUUCCUUCCCUGUUUCAGUCUGUUUUCUUAUGUUUGGCGUCUAGUGAAUUACCAACCUGCGAUGGGAGUUGCUGUGGACGAGACGAAUCUAGGUGGGGUAAUGUGCUACAAGGUACAGGCAGUUCCCUGGGUCUCAGAGAGUGGCCUCAGUGUUCUGCUGUCUGCUCAGCCUCUCUAGGAAGGAGAGGGGGAGCAGACUGGAAAAGAUGCCAACGAUACCAGAGAAGAUGCCAACGAUACCAGAGAAGACCAAAAACCUUCUGCUGCUUCAAGGACAAACACAAGUUUUUAGAUGGAUUUUGAUGCACAGGGUACUACUAUCAACAAAACAAAACCAUUUAAAAUGAAUCUUCCACUUUUCAUUUUGUCCAUCCAUUAAACACAUUUGUGAAUGAUUUCACUAAUCCAAAUCAA
Molecule: long non-coding RNA, 921 nt
Organism: Oncorhynchus nerka (sockeye salmon)
Lineage: Eukaryota; Metazoa; Chordata; Actinopteri; Salmoniformes; Salmonidae
Exons: 2
Source: RefSeq, a predicted model, not a curated record